UUCUAUCUUUGCAGCGCAGACGCUUAGACGGAUGAUGAAUGUUUUUUUUGGGGAUCUGCAAAGUUGCGAAUGUAAAAUGUUGUACGCAAAUGAAUUUCGCCCAUUCAGGAAGUUUAAAAUCAAGGGUGACUGAUUUGUCUGCACUAUAAUGCACUCAAAGGAAGUUCAAAAUCAAGAGUGACUGAUUUGUCUGCACUGUAAUGCACUCAAAGGAAGUUUAAAAUCAAGGGUGACUGAUUUGUCUGCACUAUAAUGCACUCAAAGGAAGUUCAAAAUCAAGGGUGACUGAUUUGUCUGCACUAUAAUGCACUCAAAGGAAGUUUAAAAUCAAGGGUGACUGAUUUGUCUGCACUAUAAUGCACUCAAAGGAAGUUCAAAAUCAAGGGUGACUGAUUUGUCUGCACUAUAAUGCACUCAAAGGAAGUUUAAAAUCAAGGGUGACUGAUUUGUCUGCACUAUAAUGCACUCAAAGGAAGUUCAAAAUCAAGGGUGACUGAUUUGUCUGCACUAUAAUGCACUCAAAGGAAGUUCAAAAUCAAGGGUGACUGAUUUGUCUGCACUAUAAUGCACUCAAAGGAAGUUCAAAAUCAAGGGUGACUGAUUUGUCUGCACUAUAAUGCACUCAAAGGAAGUUCAAAAUCAAGGGUGACUGAUUUGUCUGCACUAUAAUGCACUCAAAGUAAAUGAGUUGCAGCCAUCAUGAGACACUUCAGUUUAGAGUCAUUUGUUGCUGAACUUUGAACUACUCUUAAUAUGGUGGCUACUCCUGGUGCGUAGGAAUACACAAAUUGCAGAAUCUGCUGUUGAAACUCUUUUAGGAGCAGGUCUCGUCUGCACAGGGACUCCAGGUCAUGCAGAUCAUAAGGAAACACUGCAUCAGGUGGAAUAAUAAGAGCUGAGGCCCCUGCAAUCCGAAGACAGACUCGAGAAUAAUACUGUAGCAUAAGUGCUAAUAACUGUAGAAUAAACUGUAACAUUAACUUGAUCUUGACCCUUAAAGUGUUGUGCCAAAAUUUUAAAAUAAGAAAUAAAUAAGGUUAUCAUGGUA
Long non-coding RNA from Trichomycterus rosablanca, 1048 nucleotides. RefSeq lists it as uncharacterized. The transcript has 14 exons. The record is from RefSeq and is a predicted model, not a curated record. Lineage: Eukaryota; Metazoa; Chordata; Actinopteri; Siluriformes; Trichomycteridae.